Molecule: ribosomal RNA, 253 nt
Filed under: uncultured bacterium
Lineage: Bacteria
Description: partial 16S ribosomal RNA
Rfam family: Bacterial small subunit ribosomal RNA
Source: RNAcentral
UACGUAGGUGGCAAGCGUUGUCCGGAUUUAUUGGGUUUAAAGGGUGCGUAGGCGGCCCCAUAAGUCAGUGCUGAAAUAUCCCGGCUUAACCGGGAGGGUGGCAUUGAUACUGUGGGGCUUGAGUAAAGUUGAGGUUGGCGGAAUUGACGGUGUAGCGGUGAAAUGCUUAGAUAUCGUCAAGAACACCGAUAGUGUAGACAGCUAACUAAGCUUUAACUGACGCUGAGGCACGAAAGUGUGGGGAGCAAACAGG